RNAcentral lists this ribosomal RNA (253 nucleotides) under uncultured bacterium. RNAcentral describes it as "partial 16S ribosomal RNA". It matches the Rfam family "Bacterial small subunit ribosomal RNA", at positions 524 to 776 of the family's 1533-position model. The record is from RNAcentral.
UACGUAGGGUGCAAGCGUUGUCCGGAAUUAUUGGGCGUAAAGAGCUCGUAGGCGGUCUGUCGCGUCGGCUGUGAAAACUCGGGGCUCAACUCCGAGCUUGCAGUCGAUACGGGCAGGCUAGAGUUCGGCAGGGGAGACUGGAAUUCCGUGGUGAGCGGUGAAAUGCGCAGAUAUCAGGAGGAACACCGGUGGCGAAGGCGGGUCUCUGGGCCGAUACUGACGCUGAGGAGCGAAAGCGUGGGGAGCGAACAGG